UACGAAGGGGGCUAGCGUUGCUCGGAAUCACUGGGCGUAAAGCGCACGUAGGCGGAUUGCUAAGUCAGGGGUGAAAUCCUGGAGCUCAACUCCAGAACUGCCCUUGAUACUGGCGGUCUCGAGUCCGGGAGAGGUGAGUGAAACUGCGAGUGUAGAGGUGAAAUUCGUAGAUAUUCGCAAGAACACCAGUGGCGAAGGCGGCUCACUGGCCCGGUACUGACGCUGAGGUGCGAAAGCGUGGGGAGCAAACAGG
Molecule: ribosomal RNA, 253 nt
Filed under: uncultured bacterium
Lineage: Bacteria
Description: partial 16S ribosomal RNA
Rfam family: Bacterial small subunit ribosomal RNA
Source: RNAcentral